RNAcentral lists this ribosomal RNA (442 nucleotides) under uncultured bacterium. RNAcentral's name for it is "partial 16S ribosomal RNA". It matches the Rfam family "Bacterial small subunit ribosomal RNA", at positions 338 to 795 of the family's 1533-position model. The record is from RNAcentral.
CCUACGGGUGGCAGCAGUGGGGAAUAUUGGGCAAUGGGCGCAAGCCUGACCCAGCGACGCCGCGUGAGGGAAGACGGUCUUCGGAUUGUUAACCUCUUUCAGCAGGGAAGCCAAAAGGACGGUACCUGCAGAAGUAGCCACGGCUAACGAAGUGCCAGCAGCCGCGGUAAUACGUAGGUCGCAAGCGUUAUCACGAAUUCCUGGGUGUAAAGGGUGUGUAGGCGGGUUUGAAAGUCAGAGGUGAAAAUUAUGGGCUCAACCCAUACCCUGCGGCUGAAACUAGAGGUCUUGUGAUGGGGAGAAGUAUACGGAAUUCCCGGUGUAGCGGUGAAAUGCAUAGAUAUCGGGAAGAACACCAGUGGCGAAGGCAGUUUACUGGACCACAACUGACGCUGAGACACGAAAGCGUGGGGAGCGAACAGGAUUAGAUACCCGAGUAGUC